This is a long non-coding RNA of Brassica rapa (field mustard), 1920 nucleotides long. RefSeq lists it as uncharacterized. NCBI's taxonomy places the organism in Eukaryota, Viridiplantae, Streptophyta, Magnoliopsida, Brassicales, Brassicaceae. The record is from RefSeq and is a predicted model, not a curated record.
UAGGUAGAGAUUCUAGUCUCCUCUUGUAUGAAACCAAAUUUUGUUAAUAUUUAAAACAUUGGGUGAAACUUUUUUUUGUCUUUCCAAAAUCCAAAUUAGGAGCGCAACAAAACCAAUUUUUGCAUUUAAUCAUUGGUCUACUUCAUCCUCUAUUUUAUCAAAAUGUUCUCAAAUUAUAAAAAUUUCAAGUGGUAGCAUCAGGAGAGUUUCUAAAUUGGGCCUGCAAAUUAUUUUUGUUGAUAUGGGCUCUAACACACACAAAAAUUGGACCCUCAAAUUUUAUAUUUUGUUAAAACUUUUACUAAAUUUUACAAAAUUGGACCCUCUAAUAUGAUUUUAUAAUAAAAAUAAAAAUACAUAUGAAAAAAUUUGCGCCCUUUAUGAACUUUAGUGUCCUAAUCAUAUGCUAAUUAGUAUGUUAACUUAUAUUAAUUCUGAAACCCAAAACAAUGUAUAGUGUAUUGGAGAAGGACAAACAAUCGACGACCAAAAACACAUUUUAGUCUUCGAGCAUUGACUGUGAUCCAAUAUUCUCCUCCUUUGUAUUUUUGCUCAAGUGACAAACUAUCCACGCGACGACGACCAAGACUCAUUGUAGUCUUCUUCCACAGUCAUCGAUCUUUCUCUACAUAAUAAAACAAAUCUGUCCUUUUGGCUAUUUUCGUUUAUUUAAAGUUUAUAUCCAGCUGGUUUUGCAAACAUGCUCAAGUAAAUUAGUUCUCUACUUUUCUUUCUUGAAAAGAGCUUUCUACCACUUUUCUACUUCCCCCCUAUAUGCUAUAAUACUCUAUAUAUCUGUUUUAUAUUAAGAUUGUUUUAGUUGUUAAAAUUUAUUUUUCAAUUUUACUUAUAUUAUCUUAACUCAUUAAUAAACAUGAUCAAACAAAAUAAUGUAUUAUUUAGACACACAAAAAAAUUAAUGUGUUGUCAAAAAAAAAAUUAUUUGUAUGAAACAAUUUUAAACAUAUCACUUAAUAUGAAACAGAUACAACACUUAAUCGUUAUAUAUUAUAUAACAUAUGAAAUAUAAUAUUUUCACUGAUUUUCGAUCCUCGGUUUACUUUUAUCUCCAAUGGUGUUACUCAUCAUUGGAAUCCUUAACAAUAAAAUAAUAUAUUUUUUUUUAAUUUUUUUUGUUUGAAUAGUUAAGGACUCUAAUCAUAUUUGUUAGUCCAAUGGUGUUAUCCAUUAUAGAAUUCUUAGGAAUAAAAUAUAAUUAAAUUUGUAAAACAUUUAAUAAAUUUGUAAAACAUUAAAAAUAAGUAAAUUUGUAAAACAUUUAAAAAAUUUUAAAAGUAAAAAAAUUGUAAAAAAUAGUUUCUGUUACAUUGUUGGUUUUACUUAAAAGCAAACAUAAAGUUUCAGCGAAUGAACUAGCAAGGUUACGUCUCUCGAAACUAUAUCUCCAAGUUAUUACAACCACCAUAUAAGAUAAAAGGGAGGGUUGGUGUCAAAUUACUGCUUUCCUUACUUGCGGUUUAUCAUAUAUUUGAUCCAUGUGAGAGAGUACUAGUAGAGAAGCUUGUAAACAAACCUCUUGAUAUGAUCAAGUAUCAAAAGCCUUGCCCCUGGUGCUGGUGGAAUGUUUACUUCUUGCUCUGAUUGUUUCCUUCACCUGAAAGAAGAACAAAAACCCGUGCGUAGCAAACAGCCCAGGAGAGUGCGUGUGCAGGCCUUACUUUCAAGCCUUUGCUCACAAAAGCGUACGCCAACCCACCACCUGAGGCUGAGACCAUGCUGCAAAGUUUGUCAAAACCCAAUCAGAAACAACGUCUGUAACAGGUUUUCAUCAAAUCAAUAUCACCCAAAGAACAAAUCUUGAAGAUUCUCAGACAAGGAAAUAUAAACAGGGAUCAAAAAGUUGAGUGAAAAAAGAAUGAAACUUUACGCAGCCGUAAGAUCAUCUUUGCUUCUGAUUCC